RNAcentral lists this ribosomal RNA (255 nucleotides) under uncultured bacterium. Its description in RNAcentral is "partial 16S ribosomal RNA". It matches the Rfam family "Bacterial small subunit ribosomal RNA", at positions 524 to 776 of the family's 1533-position model. The record is from RNAcentral.
UACGGAGGGGGCUAGCGUUGUUCGGAAUUACUGGGCGUAAAGCGCACGUAGGCGGCUUUGCAAGUUAGAGGUGAAAGCCCGGGGCUUAACCCCGGAAUUGCCUUUAAAACUGCAUCGCUAGAAUUGUGGAGAGGUGAGUGGAAUUCCGAGUGUAGAGGUGAAAUUCGUAGAUAUUGGGAAGAACACCGGUGGCGAAGGCGGCCAUCUGGACGGACACUGACGCUGAGGCGCGAAAGCGUGGGGGGAGCAAACAGG